AUCCAGCUAACGAGUCCCAAACAGGAAGAAACGCGUCUUGGAU
This 43-nucleotide non-coding RNA is filed under the name Schistosoma mattheei. The record is from RNAcentral. Lineage: Eukaryota; Metazoa; Platyhelminthes; Trematoda; Strigeidida; Schistosomatidae.